This 648-nucleotide long non-coding RNA is filed under the name Rhinopithecus bieti (black snub-nosed monkey). RNAcentral's name for it is "lncRNA (ENSRBIG00000046814.1)". The record is from RNAcentral. Lineage: Eukaryota; Metazoa; Chordata; Mammalia; Primates; Cercopithecidae.
CGGCGCUGGGCCGGGCGGGGGCAGUGGCGGCAGCGGCCCAAGUUCGGGACAACACUGCCCCCUAGGGGCUGCCACGGGAGGUUUGCAGCUGGGGCGGCGAGGGGUCUGGAGGUUUGGGUCUAGCCCUGGGACCAGGCACUUUACUUUGGCCCACUGUGUUUCACUGGCCAGCGGAGCCGGGGAGUACCUGGGCGGGGCUACCGUGAUCCCCUGGCAGACCACUGACAGGCCAGAGGAGAGCCUUCAAGUGCCAGUUCAGGGAGCUGAGGAGAUACGGUAGUAGGAUGUUCUGUCCUGGUGACAUUGCAUGUGACUUCUGGAGCCUGCCAUGCUCCCUGGGCUCACACAAGCCAUCGGUCAGGUCCUGCCCGGCCUUGGGGACACUGAGGUGUGGUCAAACUCAAGACAUAGGAGACUUUCCCUCCAGCUGCAAUCUACCCACUUCCACCCUAUCCACACGAGGCUGGUUGCAUAGGUCAAAGCCUGCUGCUAUUUUCAUUCAAGAUAACCUCAGGAACAAGCUGUAAUGUCCCAGCUACUGCUGGUUCUUGGUGUUGCCAAAAGUGGAAGCUGAACAAGAAGGCUCUGUUUCACCAGGUUACUGGCUUGAUUCCUUGGGUAGUGGGGAGGAAGGAGAAAGAUCUAAAC